RNAcentral lists this ribosomal RNA (252 nucleotides) under uncultured bacterium. RNAcentral describes it as "partial 16S ribosomal RNA". It matches the Rfam family "Bacterial small subunit ribosomal RNA", at positions 524 to 776 of the family's 1533-position model. The record is from RNAcentral.
UACGUAAGGCCCGAGCGUUAUCCGGAUUUAUUGGGCGUAAAGGGAGCGUAGGCGGUUAGAAAAGCUUGAAGUGAAAGGCUGUGGCUUAACUAUAGUAUGCUUUCGAAACUGUUUAACUUGAGUGAUGGAAGGGAAAGUGGAAUUCCUAGUGUAGCGGUGAAAUGCGUAGAUAUAAGGAGGAACACCGGUGGCGAAGGCGGCUUUCUGGCCAUAAACUGACGCUGAGGUACGAAAGCGUGGGUAGCAAACAGG